GAAAUGCGAUAUCUAAUGUGAAUUGCAGAAUUCAGUGAAUCAUCGAGUCUUUGAACGCACAUUGCGCCCCCUGGUAUUCCGGGGGGCAUGCCUGUCCGAGCGUCAUUGCUGCCCUCAAGCCCGGCUUGUGUGUUGGGUCCUCGUCCCCCGGCUCCGGGGGACGGGCCCGAAAGGCAGCGGCGGCACCGCGUCCGGUCCUCGAGCGUAUGGGGCUUUGUCUUCCGCUCUGCAGGCCCGGCCGGCGCCCGCCGGCGCAAUUUUUUGCAACCUUUUAUUUUUCCAGGUUGACCUCGGAUCAGGUAGGGAUACCCGCUGAACUUAAGC
Molecule: unclassified non-coding RNA, 324 nt
Filed under: plant metagenome
Description: partial contains 5.8S ribosomal RNA, internal transcribed spacer 2, and large subunit ribosomal RNA
Rfam family: 5.8S ribosomal RNA (bases 1-105)
Source: RNAcentral